UUUUUUACCUUAGACGUGAGGGAAAGUUGAAAAGAACUUUGAAAAAAGAGCCAAAGAGUGCUUGAAAUUGUCGAGAGGGAAGCGGAUGGAGACCGGCGAUAGGCCCAGGUUGGAUGUGGAACGGUGGUUAGCCGGUCUGCUGAUWGGCUCUGGGUGUGGAUCAGCGAGAAUUCAGGUGGCGGUUGAAGCUUGGGCAUUUGAUAUGCUAGGGWGUAUGCCGUCUCUUGUAUUGUGGGAAGUAGUGCGCGCCCCGCGUGUGCUUCGGCACCUGCGUACUCAGGUCGUUGACUUGUGGGCUCUCCAUUCGACCCGUCUUGAAACACGGACCAAGGAGUCUGACAUGUGUGCGAGUUGGCGAGUGGAAAAACUYGCAAGGCGYAAGGAAGCUGAUUGGCGGGAUCCCUCUUYGGGGUGCACCGYCGACCGACCUUGAUCUUUUGAGAAGGGUUUGAGUGUGAGCAYACCUGUUGGGACCCGAAAGAUGGUGAACUAUGCCUGAGCGGGGUGAAGCCAGAGGAAACUCUGGUGGAAGCCCGCAGCGAUACUGACGUGCAAAUCGUUCGUCUGACUUGGGUAUAGGGGCGAAAGACUAAUAGACC
This 599-nucleotide ribosomal RNA is filed under the name Cuscuta campestris. RNAcentral describes it as "partial large subunit ribosomal RNA". The record is from RNAcentral. Lineage: Eukaryota; Viridiplantae; Streptophyta; Magnoliopsida; Solanales; Convolvulaceae.